GAUGAACGCUGGCGGCGUGCCUAAUACAUGCAAGUCGAGCGAACAGACGAGGAGCUUGCUCCUCUGACGUUAGCGGCGGACGGGUGAGUAACACGUGGAUAACCUACCUAUAAGACUGGGAUAACUUCGGGAAACCGGAGCUAAUACCGGAUAAUAUAUUGAACCGCAUGGUUCAAUAGUGAAAGACGGUUUUGCUGUCACUUAUAGAUGGAUCCGCGCCGCGUUAGCUAGUUGGUAAGGUAACGGCUUACCAAGGCAACGAUGCGUAGCCGACCUGAGAGGGUGAUCGGCCACACUGGAACUGAGACACGGUCCAGACUCCUACGGGAGGCAGCAGUAGGGAAUCUUCCGCAAUGGGCGAAAGCCUGACGGAGCAACGCCGCGUGAAUGAUGAAGGUCUUCGGAUCGUAAAACUCUGUUAUUAGGGAAGAACAAAUGUGUAAGUAACUAUGCACGUCUUGACGGUACCUAAUCAGAAAGCCACGGCUAACUACGUG
RNAcentral lists this ribosomal RNA (497 nucleotides) under uncultured bacterium. RNAcentral's name for it is "partial 16S ribosomal RNA". It matches the Rfam family "Bacterial small subunit ribosomal RNA", at positions 28 to 507 of the family's 1533-position model. The record is from RNAcentral.